AGAGAGGAAAAGAAUAUCCUUGCUGUGCCAAGAAAGAAAAGACCAUGGAUCUACUAGUUGCAGAUUUCAGCAGUAAUGCCAAGGGGGCAAGAAGUGACCAGCAGAACAAUUAGGCCAUGGCAACAGAAGCCAACUACAACCCAUGUUCCAAUCUAUGACCUCCCUCUCCUGCUGGUACAAGGAUAUGGGCAAGAGCUGAUAAUCAACUGACUAAUGAGGAUUGACUUCUACAAUUGAUGAGCAUGGAAUUGGAUGUGCCUAAAUCAACAGAAGAGGGAUUUUGAUGUCAUCACACUGUAGCCCCAGAAGACAGAACGCUCAAAGGUGUCAAUGGGCAGAAUUUGUAGAUGACAUACAGCAUCCAAUGGAUUACUCCUAUUCAGUAUUCCUUAGAGCAAAGGAUGCAAUGUCAAGCAAGUUGUGAUACCUCAACUAUCUACAAUUUAACACCAAGGAAAGAACACUGUUUGGAGAAAUGAGAAAGAUUAUCAUCAGUGUCUUUCAGAAGUCAUCAAAAGAAGAAAAGGAGAAAAGAGAGGAGAAAGCAGAAAGAUCUGGAGUCUGGGAAGUUCAAGAGCAUGGCACCAACAUCUGGCAAGGGCUUUCAUUCUGCAUCAUCUCAUGGAGGAAAAUAAAAAGGAGGCUGGAUGCUCCUGUGAAGUACGUCUUUUAUCUACUUGCUAUCUUUGCAAUUCCUUCAUGCUACAAUGAGAGAUAGAGUUUAAACCUGAAAACAUUCUUGGAAAAGGAAUCUUCAUUAAUUCAAAUAUACCACAAGGUUCUGCCACUGUGGCCAUCACCUGGGAUUGGAGAAAGGCAAAUGGAACAGACCAACUCAGAAUUACAGUCCUCAUUUAUUUCAUCAGAGUGUCUUCCAGAGUCCUCACGAGUAUCAGAGAAGGCAUAAUCUGUACACGUGGCUUCAUUUAAAAUGAAAAUAUCAAGCAGUGUCAUUUUCACAAGUAUCCCCACACUGUCUGAGGCUGAAAAGAAGAGUGUAGCUAUGCACACUGCAGUGAGAAGAAAAUUUCAGCUCAAUUGGAGGAUGUAAAGAUUGAAAUACCACUGCUCCUAGUUCUGAUGCAAAAUUGAAAAGAGUGCACUGGGUCUUCAAAUGGCAUAUUGACAAGGAGAAAGAGGAAAGGAUGCCCCAGGACAGCCUGGGGGUCAAGGCUGGGCUCAGGCAUGCCUGGACAAGCCAUGCAAGUUGUCUCCGGACUUGAACCACGUAUCAGAGGAGCUAUUUGAGGAGCCACAUCAGCAUACCUGCUUCUGUGGGCCCCCAGGCUGUGGUGCUCAGCCCUUGCACUAUGAAACAUUUUUUUUUUCCAGAAGCCAAAGCUUUGAGCAUCUCCUCCCAUGUAGAGAGUGUAUAUGUUUACGUCCAUGUCUUUCGCCAUGUGAACGCAUGCAACCACCACCUCAAAUAUCAUAAAUCCUCUCUCUCCCCCUUUCUGUCUGCCUGUUUAUCUACAAUCUGUCUAUUUAAAUUCUUUUUAAACAAGAAGGGAAUAUCUUUAUGCCUGUUUGUAGGGAUAUUCUACAUCCAUCUGUUAUUUACAUCAUUCGUUUUCCUGAGGUGUCUCCAACAAAUCCUGGCUGGAUGCACUGUAUGUGUUAUUAAUAAAACAGCUGUAAAA
This is a long non-coding RNA of Homo sapiens (human), 1640 nucleotides long. Ensembl annotates it as long intergenic non-protein coding RNA 1539. The record is from Ensembl. NCBI's taxonomy places the organism in Eukaryota, Metazoa, Chordata, Mammalia, Primates, Hominidae.